UUCGUACUGGGCAGUUUAAAAGGUGUUCCAAUAUCGCAGUUAUCUCCGCGUGGACACUCCAUUAAACCGACCCCGCGUGUGAACACACUUGAUGAUGUUAUACCUAAGCUCCACUGCAACCAUUCACAAUGCCUCCAUUGGUAAGUCUUAUGUGUUUCUUUUUAAGGGAACUUCUAAAUUCGGCUCUUGCUUUUAACAGCACCAAAAUGCCCCUGAAUCAUAAUCUUAGGCAGAUCUUGGCUGAGCAGGAUACUACAAGGGGAGGGUGAGUGACAUUGUCUUAAAUGGGGGCAGAGGGAGAAAGAAGAGCCAAGAAUACUUGACUUCGUGGAUGUGGAAUAACACUAACCUUCGGCCACUAAACCUCUCCCUUACAGACAUAGUAUCUCCUAUGUCGAUUUCAGUUUCAAUCAGCUAAGGCAACCAGCCAAUCACCACCACUGGUGUCUCCUUCUGGUGAUUGAUUUGGAAAAAAUGAUUGGUCAAGAGAGACAAACUUGAGGAAAGCACUUGGUAAGAGAGUCACAACUUCCAGCUUUCCCACACAUCCUCUGUCCUCUUCUCCAUUAUAUGCUCCUCUUUUUUGUUACUGCCGUUUCAGAAAAUGUCCGGGCAUGAGCUCCAGUCCUGUUUUUCUUUACACUCCCAGUAUUCUCCCCUAUAAAUAUGGGUUAACUCCUUGGUAACAGGGUCCUUCUUCCGCUCAAACCACAGUGCCUUAUAGGGAUCAUAUGGUGUGCCU
This 742-nucleotide long non-coding RNA is filed under the name Homo sapiens (human). Its description in RNAcentral is "HSALNT0175587". Lineage: Eukaryota; Metazoa; Chordata; Mammalia; Primates; Hominidae. The record is from RNAcentral.